This is a long non-coding RNA of Dicentrarchus labrax (European seabass), 2687 nucleotides long. RefSeq lists it as uncharacterized. The transcript is spliced from 2 exons. Lineage: Eukaryota; Metazoa; Chordata; Actinopteri; Moronidae. The record is from RefSeq and is a predicted model, not a curated record.
CGACGCCUGAGUGUCUCUCUGCUGCCCCAACAGCCGCUCCCUCAGGUCCAUACAUUGCUGCAGACACACAGGAAACAACCAAUCAGCUUCAUCCACAGAAACAUGUUUUACUGUUCAACCGCCAACGACAGCAGCUCAACUCGCAGUACGUCACCGCUGCUGGCUGCAAGAAAACCAACGUGGCGGCGAGCGUAGCGCCAAACCGGAGGAUUGAAACCGGGACUCCGCCCGCCGAUCCAGCAGGGUCAGACUCACUUUGAGCGAAUCGUUGAGCUUCUUGUCUUCUUCCUCCAGAUGAGUGCACUCGUUCUUCAGAUCGUUGUUUCGUCUCAGCAGCCGUCGCUUCUCCUCCUGCCUCACUGCACACACACACACACACACACACACACACAGUUCGUCAGCACACGUAUGAACAGGCUAACAGGCUAACACACACUUGUGAAGAAGUGAACCAGUUCUCACCCGUCUUGUGUGUAACGUAGGACUGAACAAAGUUCUGUGGCCACGACAUGUUCUCCUUGUUCAGGACCUGAGGACCAGAUACAACAGUUAUUUAUUUAUUUAUUUACAACAAUCAGACGUUACAGUUUCAGUUAUUUUCAUCAUUAACUCGAUGGUUUGGGUUCUGUUGGGACUUGAGCACAGACUGUAAGUGUAGCUGACUCUCAGCUGUGUCUCAUUUAAGGAUGAAGCUCUCCUGAACUACCGGUGUUGUGGUUCAGAGAGCGACCGUGUUAUCUGGUGUCUCUAGAAACACUUUAUAAGAACGUUACGAGAGGCGUUCCCUGGAGUUUCGUACCUUCUUCUGGCACUUGGGGCAGUACCAGGGUCCUCUGGGGGGGGUUUUGAGCGGCGGGUGGAGGCAGUUGGGGUGGAAGGCUCUGGGGCAGUUGUGGCAGGGCUGCAGCUCGCCGUCCUCCUUACAGACGGCACAGUGGUCGUCAUGCUCCAAGUCCUCCUGCUCGGACACAACCAGAGUCAGUACAGCCGUACUCAACGGGUCACACACACACACACACACUCUCACACACACACUCUACAGGUCUAACACACACAAACUUUACAUUUUAUAUUUGAUGGUGCACCGUAAACAGCUCGCUGACUUAUAAACAUACAGUGAGUUUCUCUAAUUAAAAUAGUUUUUAGUGUUAAUUUGAUGUCUUUGUCUUUUUAAUGUUAUUACACUGUAAAACCAAAGCAAUGAACUCUGCUAUGAUACAAAUAAUUAGACUUAAAUUUGCUGUUAUUAUUAGAUUUGUCUUAGUUUAAUGUGAAUGUUAAAAGUAAUUAUCUGUGAAAUUACAGUAAUUAUAAAUAAAAACUGUAUUUGGACAGUUUACCAAUGCUUAUACACUGAUAAACAUUUAUUCAACGUUUCUGUGGUGAAAAACAAAUCCAUGUAAAGUUACACAACAAAUACUUUUACUGUUGUCACAAAUGUUAUAACUUUAGAAAUGUAUUAACAGUUUAAUCUAUUAAAUAAACAGUAAAUAUAGAUUUGCAAAAUGUAUUUUAACUUUAUGUGCAAAAACAGGACCAAAAAAAAAAAACGGAGGCGUGACGUCGUCGGUCAUGUGACCUACCUUCCAGCAGAAAUCCUCAGUGUCUAGCGUGUAAAUGGAAGCAGAGCAGAGGUUAGUGGCAGCACAGACACACAGGUGAGAGCUGGAGCAGCGUGUGGUUAGCUUAGCUUAGCAUAAAGACUGGAAGCAGGUGGAAACUGUUAGCCUCUAACAACAAUUAGAAGUGUCUGUAUACUGACUGUUCAACGUUAGAGAGUGUGUGUGUGUGUGUGUGUGUGUGUGUGUGUGUGUGUGUGUGUGUGUGUGUGUGUGUGUGUGUGUGUGUGUGUGUGUGUGUGUGUGUGUGUGUGUGUACCUCGUGCUGACAGGAAGAGCGAACUGUUCAGGUAGUGUGAGGCCAGACGUUUACGCUGUGAACAAACAGGAAGUUGGAGUCAGAUUACAAACAGCUGAUUAAAGUUUUAAUGUAACAAUAAUGAAUCAAUAAUCAAUAAUCAAUAAUCAAUGGCUCUGACCUCUGGUUCAAACAGGCCGCUGUAGGCCGGAUUAGCUGUGCUUCGUCUCUUCCUCUCCUGACGCUUCGACUGGAUUUCUGCCCGGAAACAAACAAACAAACAAACAAACAAACAAACAAACAAACAAACGUUUAAUAUAAAAGAUCUUCAGGAAGCUCUGAUUACAUCACUUCCUUCAAGGAGCAGCGUGGACUCACCUUCCAGGUGCUCCGUGGUGACGAGGCCGAGGGCGACCAUGAAGGCGAUUUUCUGUCAGAGAGAGAGAGGACGUUAACGAGGAGGAAGAGGACGUUAACGAGGAGGAAGAGGACGUUAACGAGGAGGAAGAGGACGUUAACGUCUACCUGAGGGGCUAAAAUAUAAUUAAUCAUCAAUAAUCAUUUUAAUAAAUUUCCAGGUUUUCCAGGAUGUGGGAAACUUGUGAGCAGUUAAUCAAUUUCUCUGAUUUCAGCUCCUCAAAUGUUUUCUGCUUACUUUAGUCCUAAAGUAAAUUUCCAGGUUUUCCAGGACGAGUUUUCGGGAUUUGUAGAAAGAUUCAAAACAUUUCCAGAUGAUCAGUUAUUGAUCUGCAGGAGCUGCUGUUGGACUAUUGAUCACAAUAAUCGAUCAGAAACUGUUCGUACAAAAUAAAACUGGAUUCACUUUCUCA